RNAcentral lists this ribosomal RNA (540 nucleotides) under Bryophryne phuyuhampatu. Its description in RNAcentral is "partial 16S ribosomal RNA". It matches the Rfam family "Bacterial large subunit ribosomal RNA", at positions 1839 to 2599 of the family's 2925-position model. The record is from RNAcentral. Lineage: Eukaryota; Metazoa; Chordata; Amphibia; Anura; Craugastoridae.
AUCUUCAUAGAAGGUCCAGCCUGCCCAGUGACUUUUGUUCAACGGCCGCGGUAUCCUAACCGUGCGAAGGUAGCGUAAUCACUUGUUUUUUAAAUAAAGACUAGUAUGAAAGGCAUCACGAGGAUUAAACUGUCUCCUUUUUUUGAUCAGUGAAACUAAUCUUCCCGUGAAGAAGCGGGAAUAUUCCAAUAAGACGAAAAGACCCUAUGGAGCUUUAAACAUUAUAGCACUUGUCGAUUCACCUCCACCCUAACCACAGACACCUUGACUAUAAGUUUUCGGUUGGGGCGACCACGGAGCAAAAUAAACCCUCCAAGUUGAUUAUACCCCUAAGCCCAGAGCCACAGCUCCAAGCAUUAACAAAUUAACAUCAAUUGACCCAGUAAUCUGACCAACGAACCAAGUUACCCUAGGGAUAACAGCGCAAUCCACUUCAAGAGUCCUUAUCGACAAGUGGGUUUACGACCUCGAUGUUGGAUCAGGGUUUCCUAGUGGUGUAGCCGCUACUUUAGGUUCGUUUGUUCAACGAUUAAACCCUAC